GACGAACGCUGGCGGCGUGCUUAACACAUGCAAGUCGAGCGGUAAGGCCCUUUCGGGGUACGACGAGCGGCGAACGGGUGAGUAACACGUGGGUGACCUGCCUCCAGCUCUGGGAGUAAGCCUCGGGAAACCGGGUCUAAUACCGGAUAUGACUCCAUGACGCAUGUUGUGGGGUGGAAAGCCUUGUGCGGCUGAGGAUGGGCCCGCGGCCUAUCAGCUUGUUGGU
RNAcentral lists this ribosomal RNA (226 nucleotides) under uncultured bacterium. RNAcentral describes it as "partial 16S ribosomal RNA". It matches the Rfam family "Bacterial small subunit ribosomal RNA", at positions 28 to 253 of the family's 1533-position model. The record is from RNAcentral.